GCCUAAUGUGUCAGGUAGAGCAUGGGACUCUUAAUCCCAGGGUCGUGGGUUUGAGCCCCACAUUGGGCG
RNAcentral lists this transfer RNA (69 nucleotides) under Neotoma lepida (desert woodrat). It matches the Rfam family "tRNA". Rfam says of the family: Transfer RNA (tRNA) molecules are approximately 80 nucleotides in length. The record is from Rfam by way of RNAcentral. Lineage: Eukaryota; Metazoa; Chordata; Mammalia; Rodentia; Cricetidae.